RNAcentral lists this ribosomal RNA (485 nucleotides) under uncultured bacterium. RNAcentral describes it as "partial 16S ribosomal RNA". It matches the Rfam family "Bacterial small subunit ribosomal RNA", at positions 30 to 506 of the family's 1533-position model. The record is from RNAcentral.
AUUGAACGCUGGCGGCAUGCCUUACACAUGCAAGUCGAACGGCAGCACGGGUGCUUGCACCUGGUGGCGAGUGGCGAACGGGUGAGUAAUACAUCGGAACAUGUCCUGUAGUGGGGGAUAGCCCGGCGAAAGCCGGAUUAAUACCGCAUACGAUCUACGGAUGAAAGCGGGGGACCUUCGGGCCUCGCGCUAUAGGGUUGGCCGAUGGCUGAUUAGCUAGUUGGUGGGGUAAAGGCCCACCAAGGCGACGAUCAGUAGCUGGUCUGAGAGGACGACCAGCCACACUGGGACUGAGACACGGCCCAGACUCCUACGGGAGGCAGCAGUGGGGAAUUUUGGACAAUGGGCGAAAGCCUGAUCCAGCAAUGCCGCGUGUGUGAAGAAGGCCUUCGGGUUGUAAAGCACUUUUGUCCGGAAAGAAAUCCUUGGCCCUAAUACGGUCGGGGGAUGACGGUACCGGAAGAAUAAGCACCGGCUAACUACGU